AUACGUAGGGUGCAAGCGUUAAUCGGAAUUACUGGGCGUAAAGCGUGCGCAGGCGGUUUUGUAAGACAGAGGUGAAAUCCCCGGGCUCAACCUGGGAACUGCCUUUGUGACUGCAAGGCUAGAGUACGGCAGAGGGGGAUGGAAUCCCGCGUGUAGCAGUGAAAAGCGUAGAUAUGCGGAGGAACACCGAUUGCGAAGGCAAUCCCCUGGGCCUGUACUGACGCUCAUGCACGAAAGCGUGGGGAGCAAACAAGAUUAGAUACCCUGGUAGUCCACGCCCUAAACGAUGUCAUCUGGUUGUUGGGUCUUCAUUGACUCAGUAACGAAGCUAACGCGUGAAGUUGACCGCCUGGGGAGUACGGCCGCAAGGUUGAAACUCAAAUGAAUUGGCGGGG
RNAcentral lists this ribosomal RNA (395 nucleotides) under uncultured bacterium. RNAcentral describes it as "partial 16S ribosomal RNA". It matches the Rfam family "Bacterial small subunit ribosomal RNA", at positions 523 to 918 of the family's 1533-position model. The record is from RNAcentral.